AAUCUCUUAAAGCUUCUCUCAGUUCGGAUUGCAGGCUGCAACUCGCCUGCAUGAAGCCGGAAUCGCUAGUAAUCGCGGAUCAGCACGCCGCGGUGAAUACGUUCCCGGGCCUUGUACACACCGCCCGUCACACCACGAGAGUUUGUAACACCCGAAGUCGGUGAGGUAACCUUUUGGAGCCAGCCGCCUAAGGUGGGAUAGAUGAUUGGGGUGAAGUCGUAACAAGGUAGCCGUAUCGGAAGGUGCGGCUGGAUCACCUCC
This 261-nucleotide ribosomal RNA is filed under the name Enterococcus faecium. Its description in RNAcentral is "partial 16S ribosomal RNA". It matches the Rfam family "Bacterial small subunit ribosomal RNA", at positions 1270 to 1530 of the family's 1533-position model. Lineage: Bacteria; Bacillati; Bacillota; Bacilli; Lactobacillales; Enterococcaceae. The record is from RNAcentral.